AUUGAACGCUGGCGGCAGGCCUAACACAUGCAAGUCGAGCGGAUGAAGGGAGUUUGUUUCUGAACUCAGUGGGGGACGGGCGAGUAAUGAAUAGGAAUCUGAUUGGCAGUGGGGGAGAACGCUCGGAAACGGGAGGAAAUACAGCAUACGUUCUGAGGGUGAAAGAGGGGGAUCUUGGGACAAAAAGCUAAUUGAAGAGCUUAGGUCGGAUUAGCUAUUUGGUGGGGUAAAGGGCUACGAAGGCGACGAUCCGUAACAGGAUAUAGAGGAUGUUCAGUCACACUGGAACUGAGACGCGGUCCAGACCCCUACGGGAGGCAGCAGUGGGGAAUUUUGGCCAAUGGGCAAAAUCCUGAUCCAGCCAUGCCGCGUGUUUGAAGAAGGUCUUCGGAUUUAAAAGCACUUUAGUUUGGGAGAAAGUGCAUUAAGUUAAUACCUUGCUGUUGUGACGUUACCAACAGAAUAAGCACCGGCUAACUUCGUG
Molecule: ribosomal RNA, 484 nt
Filed under: uncultured bacterium
Lineage: Bacteria
Description: partial 16S ribosomal RNA
Rfam family: Bacterial small subunit ribosomal RNA
Source: RNAcentral